This 23-nucleotide non-coding RNA is filed under the name Arabidopsis thaliana (thale cress). The record is from RNAcentral. Lineage: Eukaryota; Viridiplantae; Streptophyta; Magnoliopsida; Brassicales; Brassicaceae.
UGCCUAAUUGGGAAGAUGAAUGG